Long non-coding RNA from Hyaena hyaena (striped hyena), 1448 nucleotides. RefSeq lists it as uncharacterized. NCBI's taxonomy places the organism in Eukaryota, Metazoa, Chordata, Mammalia, Carnivora, Hyaenidae. The transcript is spliced from 5 exons. The record is from RefSeq and is a predicted model, not a curated record.
UGGCUUUGGGGCAGGAUGGGGGUCAGGGCUGAGCGCACCCUCCAGAAUGACCUCAACUCCUGGCAUUGGGCCACAGGCUUCGGUCGGACCCGGGACUUCCGGUGCUCACCCUCACGUGCGGGGUCACGGGCAUCUCUCUCCCAGCCUCCCUGGGCAGCAGGACCCUGGACAGCGUUGGGGUCAAGAUCCGCCCGCCCCCCGCGCCCAAGGCUGGAAACCGGGGCUGAGCUGCCCCUGAGGCCGCACAUUAGGUGGUGUCCUUGGCGAGGACAACUCUCGACUGCGGAGCUCUCCUCAGAAAAGCGAGAUGGUGGCCCCAAGUCAGAGAAGGUUCUGCAUCCAGUGUCGCACCGGGACAAAGUCACUGUGUGCUGCUGUAUGUGAAUUUGUGCAAGGACACCACUGAGGUUCUGAGCCACAGAUGGAUGGGAUCGAGGGAUUCUCUUCCUGGCCUUGAACAAGUGAGCUACCAGGAUGUGAGAAGGCCUGUAAGGGGCCACAGGUCAAGGAACUGGCAGCCCCUAAGAGCUGUGAGUGGCCUCCAACUGUCCAGCAAAAGAAAGCAGCCGUGUGACCUUAGAAGAGGACCCCGAGACUCGCACGUGUGAAGAGGUUGCAUAAACUGCCACCUGUAGGCCUCAGUACCGAGUGUGUACUUCCGAAUGACACAGCACUUCAGUCUACAACCCUUGUUCCGAUGGCCCAGCUACUCCAGUGGCUCUUCCAGGUCCCAGACGGCUCGCCAGUUUCCCAAGUCGGGUGUCCCGACCCCCUUUAAUUGGAAAUAGUUCCUCUACCAUUUGUGUCUUUUAUGACACUGACAUGAGUUGAGGCCAGUUGCUUUGAAGAGUUCCCUCUUCUGGAGCUUAUGAUGUCUCUGCAUGAAUGAAUUCAAGUUUUAUUUUUCUGGUGGGAACACCCGCCGAGCAGCACAAAUUCCCCCCCAACGCAUCCGAAGGGGCGCUGCUUGGCGUCGUUGCCAGUGACGUCAUCCCUGACCACUCAGCGUCGUGGCUGCUAGCUUUUCCUAUAGCAAAGUUAAUUUUCCCUUUUGUCACACAGAAAAUGGCCUCUCUGGGGAGAGUUGGAUGACUGUUAGCACACGCACAGACGACUGCAGCCACGUGGGUCAGGACGCAGACUGUCCCAUCCCCCAGAACUCUCCUCCACGUUCUCCCUUUGUGCUCAGAUGGUGCUUGCGCCCGGCAGCCGCUGACCUGCUCCCCAUCACGGUGGCUUUGUCUCGGGAAGGCCGAUGAACGGAAGUAUACACUGUGUCCCUUUUGGGCGGGGACCUUGGAAGUUCACCCAGGUUCAUUCCUUUUUAUGGAUGGGUACUUGUCCGCGUAUGGGGAGACCACAGGCUACCUGUCCGCUCCUCCCCUGAAUCACAUCUGGGUUGCCUGCAGUUCAGGCAGUUAUGAAUAAAUCUGCCGUCGACAUUUGUA